UUUCCACUAUGUUUCUUUUCCCUUCCCCCAGACCUUACAGUUUGGAGUGCAAGAUGUUUAAGAAGGAUCAAUACCUGUAAAGAAGGUUGAGGAAGCAGAUUGGGCAGAAGUUGAACUGUGGCGUAAGCUGACAAAUGCAUGUCAACAUCGUAAAGAACUCUGGAGCAAAUAUUGCCAGUAAGAAUGCAGCACCUCUGCCACUGGGGUGAAAUGGCCAGGCCUUCAUCCCCCACCUCAUUCAGUCACCAGAUGCAGGCUGCCCUGGAAAGGAUGCGACCUUGAAUGAUCUUCUCUGAACCACUAACAGAUCCUGAAGAAACUCACAGCUAGACAUGUCUGCUGACUAUACUCUUCCAGCUGGGAAGCAAAUCCUUCCCUGAAGCUAUUGAGUCUGUGUUCACUGAGGCAUCUCCUGACCCUAGAGACAACUCCACCUAUGGCAAGACUCUCAACAAUCCUAUGCUAGCUAUCCCACAGCAAAAGAUUAACAAAAAAUUGGAUCUUAUGACUCCGUAUCAUUGGUUACUCCUCAGCAACAACACUAAUUCUGGGAAGUUCGGAUAGUACAUUUGACUGCCUGAUUUGAAAAUUUCCCAACGGAGCAGGGAGGUCAACGCUCCUGAAGAUGCUGACUGGAGCUACUCUUCACAGAUGGGAUGAUCUGAAAACACUCUCAAAAUCAGGCGUUACCAUGAGCAUCGACAAGAGCAGCUGGAUUUAGAUCUCUCACCUUUGGAGUCCAUGAUGACGUGCUACCCAGAGAUCAAGGAGAAGGAAGAAAUGAGGAGGAUCACUGGGCGAAGUGGUUUCACUGGGAAACAGCAGGUGAGCCCACUCCAGAACCUGUCAGAUGGAAAACAUGCCGAGUGUGUCUGGCCUGGCUGCUCUGGCAAACCACCUGCCCCAUGCUCUGCCUGGAUGAGUACACCAGUCCCCUGGAUAUCGAGAUCAUCGAUGCGCUGGCAGAUGCCAUCAGUGAGUUUGAGGGUGGGAGGAUGCUAGUCGCAGGUCACACAGGAAAUUUGGGUCUCUGAGAAGCAGACAAUCACUAAGAGACCUGGAGACAUCCUGGCUUAUAAGGAGCACCUCAAGUCCAAGCUGGUGGGUGAGGAGCCUCAGUGCACCAAGAGGCCCCACGACGUGUGAGCCCUCUGCCCUGGUUGGGGUCAGGAGCUCCAUCUGGGAACUAACUGCUGCUACCCUGACCACCACUCAGCACAGGACCCUGGGGCUGCACUCCUGCAUUGCUGCAGUACUGCUCCCCCGGCCCCUCUCCAUCCCUCAACCUGUCUUAGCUGCACUCUGUUAUCUUAUCUACAGCUAAAUAAUACCUGUCUGUUUCCACGUCUGUACUCCAUGGCGUUGUCCUCCAGUCCAGUGCUGGCUUUCUUGUCAGAGAGGGAUGCAGCCAGAGGCUCCUGAAGGCUGGCUCAAUGGCCCAAGCCCUGGAUUUGGCACUGAAGGAGCUCAAGAUCUUCAUUUUCUGGGUUUUGGUGAUGUUGGACAAAUACCCCCAGCCCACUGCCCCUAUUCGUUUUGCUUCUGGUUUGGAGCUCUGAGUUCUGGACCUUAGUCCUAGUCAAUUUUUUUGUUUGUUUGUUUGAUUGGUUGGUUGG
Tupaia belangeri chinensis (Chinese tree shrew) is the source of this 1616-nucleotide long non-coding RNA. RefSeq lists it as uncharacterized. The record is from RefSeq and is a predicted model, not a curated record. Lineage: Eukaryota; Metazoa; Chordata; Mammalia; Scandentia; Tupaiidae. The transcript has 3 exons.